CCCAGUUGGCACUCCAAUAUUGGCAUAAUCUUUUGAUUUAAGAUUGGAUGACUUGUGAAGUGCAUGCACAUGCCUUUAAUUGCUUCAACCGUACGUAGAUUAUUGACUUAUAAAAUCCAUCUUACUUCUCAUACUCAUAUAAUUGGAUUUCAUUUCAUUUGUAAAUUGUAACCACAGCUAAGCAGCAUCUAAAUUGCAACCUCGAUUAAAACAAAACCUUUUCAGCUCUGAAAGCAAAGGUUGGUACUACUCAAACGUCUUGAUCUUGGAGACUUUUAGCAAUCCCUAUAUAUAAAGAAAACAACACUUGAAUUUGGUUUGUAGUAUAUAAUUGUUUGCAAUUCCUUCCUCUGAAAAAAUAAAAUGCAUAGGUCUUCAAGUAUCUCAAGAGCGUCCAGUGAGUUCCUGGUUGACGUUACAGUCACAUCUUUAGCUUUCCCACCUCUUAAGAUGGCAGAUUCAUCACAUGACCUGCCAAUUCAUCAUCACUCUGCAGUGUCCGAUGUUACGAAGAAGGAAAUGACACUCCUUGUCCAUGGUAAGCCACCUGCACAAAAAGCCAUUCAUCUCAUACCUCUUGUCCUCAUCUUUUGUGGUUUUAUUCUUUGGAUUUUCUCUCAUCAGUGACGACAUGUACUGAAAGGGUGGGGGAAAAAGAGAAUUGUGAACAAGUUCAAUUCUAGCUCUUAUUUCUUAAUUAAUUCUUAUGUUUUCCAUUGACAAAAAGUUGUUUAUGGAUAAGAUCGAUCACGCUCAUGUAUGCCACGUAUAUUUUAUACUCAAGGAAGGAAAUUUUCAUUUGUUUUUCAUCAAGAUUA
This 818-nucleotide long non-coding RNA is filed under the name Glycine max (soybean). RNAcentral's name for it is "long non-coding RNA (GMAX_LNC003870)". The record is from RNAcentral. Lineage: Eukaryota; Viridiplantae; Streptophyta; Magnoliopsida; Fabales; Fabaceae.